Molecule: microRNA precursor, 55 nt
Organism: Macaca fascicularis (crab-eating macaque)
Lineage: Eukaryota; Metazoa; Chordata; Mammalia; Primates; Cercopithecidae
Source: Ensembl
AGAGUAAUUGUGGUUUCUGUCAUGAAAAGUAUGGCAAAAACCAUAAUUACUUUUG